GCCCCCGUAGCUCAGUGGAUAGAGCAAUGGAUUCCUAAUCCAUGUGCCGUGGGUCCGAUUCCCGCCGGGGGCACCA
RNAcentral lists this transfer RNA (76 nucleotides) under Desulfobacteraceae bacterium. RNAcentral's name for it is "tRNA-Arg". It matches the Rfam family "tRNA". From Rfam's summary of the family: Transfer RNA (tRNA) molecules are approximately 80 nucleotides in length. Their secondary structure includes four short double-helical elements and three loops (D, anti-codon, and T loops). Lineage: Bacteria; Pseudomonadati; Thermodesulfobacteriota; Desulfobacteria; Desulfobacterales; Desulfobacteraceae. The record is from RNAcentral.